This 1479-nucleotide ribosomal RNA is filed under the name Gobiopterus sp. NMBE 1066470. RNAcentral describes it as "partial 16S ribosomal RNA". It matches the Rfam family "Bacterial large subunit ribosomal RNA", at positions 367 to 2574 of the family's 2925-position model. The record is from RNAcentral. Lineage: Eukaryota; Metazoa; Chordata; Actinopteri; Gobiiformes; Gobiidae.
CAAGCCCCAUCAGCUAGCCCAACCACCCAAAAUCAACCACCCCUUAUCUCUACCCCCAAAAACACAAACUUUUUUAAAUAAAACAUUCUCCCGCCCUAGUAUAGGCGAUAAAAAAGGAACCCGGCGCCAUAGAACCAGUACCGCAAGGGAAAGAUGAAAGAGAAAUGAAAUAACCCAGUAAAGGCCAACAAAGCAGAGCUUAACCCUCGUACCUUUUGCAUCAUGACUUAGCUAGCACCCUCCAAGCAAAAUGACAUUUAAGUUUGGCACCCCGAAACUACGUGAGCUACUUCAAGACAGCUUAAUGAGCAAACCCGUCUCUGUGGCAAAAGAGUGGGAAGAUCUUCAAGUAGAGGUGACAGACCUACCGAACCUAGUUAUAGCUGGUUGUCUAUGAAAAGAAUACAAGUUCCGCCUUUGAUCUUCUUUUUUCCCCUUAAGACUAGCCCCAAAGAGAUAAAAAGAAAACCAAAGAGUAAUUUAAAGGGGGGACAGCCCCUUUAAACAGAGAAACAACUCUUCCUGCUGACUAAGGACCAUAAACCUCAAGAUAACUAUAUUAUGGUGGGCCUAAAAGCAGCCACCCAUAACGAAAGCGUUAAAGCUCAAAUAUUAUACUUCUCUACGAUUAUGGCACUCAAAUCCUAAGCCCCAACAAAUAAUAGACCUUUUUAUGCAUCCAUAAAAGUGAUACUGCUAAAAUGAGUAAUAAGAAGGCCCAGACCUUCUCCCCGCCCCUGCAUAAAUCAGAACGAACUAGCACUGAACACUAACGCGCCCAACAAAAAGAGGGAAAAGAAACAAGCAAAGUACACAAGAAAAACAUUCAAUAAUACAGCGUUAACCCCACACAGGAGGGCCAAAAGGGAAAGACCUAAAAGAAAAGAAGGAACUCGGCAAACACAAGCCUCGCCUGUUUACCAAAAACAUCGCCUCUUGCACCCCCAUCAUAAGAGGUCCCGCCUGCCCUGUGACCCUAAAAAGUUUAACGGCCGCGGUAUUUUGACCGUGCGAAGGUAGCGUAAUCACUUGUCUUUUAAAUGAAGACCUGUAUGAAUGGCAUCACGAGGGCCUAGCUGUCUCCUUUCCUUAGUCAAUGAAAUUGAUCUCCCCGUGCAGAAGCGGGGAUAAAACCAUAAGACGAGAAGACCCCAUGGAGCUUAAGACCUAAGCAGCCCACACUAAGCCUCCUCAAAAAAAGGAAAGCAAAAAAAUGGUUACCUGCCCCAAGUCUUUGGUUGGGGCGACCGCGGAGGAGCACAAAUCCCCCACGUGGAACGGGAAAACCUCCCUAAAACAUGAGUGACAACUCUAAUUUUCAGAACUUCUGGCCAACAAGAUCCGGCAACGCCGAUCAACGGACCAAGUUACCCUGGGGAUAACAGCGCAAUCCUCUCCCAGAGUUCUUAUCGACGAGGGGGUUUACGACCUCGAUGUUGGAUCAGGACAUCCUAAUGGUGCAGCCGCUAUUAAGGGUUC